RNAcentral lists this ribosomal RNA (457 nucleotides) under uncultured Diversisporales. RNAcentral describes it as "eukaryotic LSU rRNA". The stretch from base 402 to 457 matches the Rfam family "Eukaryotic large subunit ribosomal RNA", at positions 1 to 56 of the family's 3401-position model. The record is from RNAcentral. Lineage: Eukaryota; Fungi; Glomeromycota; Glomeromycetes; Diversisporales.
UGUCACACGAGUGAAUCAUCGAAUCUUUGAACGCACUUUGCACCUUGUGGCUUUUGUCACAAGGUAUACUUGUUUGAGAAUCUGUUACAACUCACCUCCCCUUCGGGGCGAAGUGAACUUGAGAUUCGAUGGGUCGCCUUGGUUUGGCUGCUGCUGCUUUCGUGGUGGUAGACGUGAACAAAAGGAGGACGAGUCGUCUCUUUAAAUGCGUGGUCAUUGUGGGAGGUCUCCGCCUGGAGCCGACAGACUAUUGGGAUAACAUCCUAACGAUCGUUUGUCGGUCCAACAUUGGGUGUUGACUGACCUAGGCUAACCUUGGACGAGACAUGCUGCGCGUAAAAACCGUAGUGUGUCGAAUCCGUAAGAGGAGGGGGGGCGAACCAACCAACCUCUUGUGCAUAGGAUCUCAAAUCAAGUAAGGAUACCCGCUGAACUUAAGCAUAUCAAUAAGCGGAGG